RNAcentral lists this ribosomal RNA (910 nucleotides) under uncultured bacterium. RNAcentral describes it as "bacterial SSU rRNA". It matches the Rfam family "Bacterial small subunit ribosomal RNA", at positions 8 to 932 of the family's 1533-position model. The record is from RNAcentral.
AGAGUUUGAUCAUGGCUCAGGACGAACGCNGGCGGCGCGCUUAACACAUGCAAGUCGUGCGGUACCGAUGGCAAGUCUUCUUGACGAGCCUUCGGUAUAGCGGCGGGCGGGUGAGUAACACGUGAGUAGCUGUCCUAGGGAGGGGGAUAACGCCUGGAAACGGGUGCUAAAACCCCAUAAGCCUCGAAAGAGGUAAAAGUGCAUCACUGCAGUCCUAGGGUGUGCUCGCGGCCUAUCAGCUAGUUGGUGAGGUAAGGGCUCACCAAGGCCAAGACGGGUAGCCGGCCUGAGAGGGUGUACGGCCACACUGGAAUUGAGAUACGGUCCAGACUCCUACGGGAGGCAGCAGUGGGGAAUUUUGGGCAAUGGGCGAAAGCCUGACCCAGCGACGCCGCGUUGGGGAUGAAGUCCUUCGGGGCGUAAACCCAUGUUGUAGGGGAAGAAGAAAGUGACGGUACCCUACGAGAAAGCCCCGGCCAACUACGUGCCAGCAGCCGCGGUAAAACGUAGGGGGCGAGCGUUGUCCGGAAUUACUGGGCGUAAAGGGCAUGCAGGCGGUGCGCCAAGUCGGGGGUGUAAAGUUACGGCUCAACCGUGACCUUGCAAUCGAAACUGGCGCACUGGAGUGCGGGAGAGGGAAGUGGAAUUCCCGGUGUAGCGGUGAAAUGCGUAGAUAUCGGGAGGAACGCCAGUGGCGAAGGCGGCUUCCUGGCCCGCGACUGACGCUCAUGUGCGAAAGCCAGGGGAGCGAACCGGAUUAGAUACCCGGGUAGUCCUGGCCGUAAACGAUGGGUGCUAGGUGUAGGCGCGUCAAGCGUCUGUGCCGAAGUUAACGCGAUAAGCACCUCGCCUGGGGAGUACGGUCGCAAGGCUGAGACUCAAAGGAAUUGACGGGGGCCCGCACAAGCGG